ACUCCAGCCAGUGCCUUCAACACCCACAGCUAUCCAUGUGCUUUCAGCUGUACCACAAUACCUUUUGUGCUCUAUAUAGUCCCAUAGCCUGCUAAGUGGAGAAGCUUCAGGGGGGAGUGCCCACACAGCCCAGCUGAAUGCAGAAAGUGUGGAGGCAGGACGAAAGCAUAAGGAACUGAUCCCCGGUGAACAAAAAUCCCUAAUUAUAGAUGAAAAGGAAGUGAUGGUCCAGGCAAAGAGCCGUGGAUCUGUGGUGGCUCUCUGUGUGAGACAGGAAACCAGGAACUGCCUGCUGCCCUUGUCCCAUGUUCCUGCCCCUGUGCUGUCAUCUAUGAGCCUUUGGAAGAUACCGCUGUAGCUUUCUGCCGAGCCAUCUUGUAAAUUGAUCCCAGGCCUACUUGAUCUUGUCCAUUUGGCACUGCUGGAGGAAUAACAAGUUUCUUCCCAUCAUGCACCAUUCUGGGAUACAUCAUGACAGAGAAAUCUCAAAGCCCAGGUCAAUUAUAACAGAAGAUGUGUAGCACCUCUGCCCCCACAGCGUCUUCUGGGGAUCUACUUGGCAAAAUGAUAUAAAACUAUUUCCGAAGACUUCCCAUGAUCUGGCGCUGCUUAGAACUAAGUCACCGGCAAAAUGUGCUGUUUGUGCCAUUCCCAGGAAGCACUAGUUCAGCGAUGGCCACGGAACAGGGACAGGUCCUCUCUAGGUAAGUGGGCAAACCAGCUGGCUGCAGUGUCCACGGUCCUGGCAUCGGGUAAAACAAAUCUUGGCUUCCUCCCUAGAAAGUGGAGUGGCUUCAGCAGGAGAGAUCAGGCAUAUCCUCCGCACAGCCCUGCUCCAGACAGCCAGUGGUCUGCAGGAGGACAGAGGGCUGCCUUUGAGUUCCCAGCUGCAGAGAAGGGGAGAGACCCACAGGUCCUGCCUUUCAGCAAGAAGAUCUGAUACCAAGCUCCACCAAAUAAGUCUUAGUAAGAAAAGCUACGGGAGUUAGAAAAGAGACCUCCAUGAAGAUGAUUUCAUGGACCAACCUGGAAAGAGAAUACUUCUGGAUGAGAGCAGCAUGAAGGUAUUUGUUAUUGUUGAGACUAUGUACAUGAGCUGGCAGAAAUCAAGCCUCUGCCAAGCCUGAUAAGGGGCUAGUAUCUUCCAAGAGUUGUUGCAUUUUCCUAAUGAAAUGACCUCUUUGAGAUGAGGUAGUGUUCAUUUCAAGCUAUAUCAUAUCUUGCACAGUGCCAGCUUAUUCUUUAUUUGCUUCAGGUUUGAGCUCAUCUUUGCCAAGCUGUGUUCUUGUAAACCUAUUCAUAUAUCCAGUCACAUCAAGAUAGAAUUUGUGGAUAGACACUGACAUUUAGGAAAAAAAAAUCAGACCAGGAAAACAUCUGCCAUGAACAAAGGUUUAAGGAACUAUUCUUAUCUCAUGCAGUACAUGGAUGGAUGGUGCAGGGCACUUAACUGGCUUUGCCAUGAACUUUACACUGUGUUGCUUGCAUGGGGAAGGCUGUGUGUUGAGGGGGGCAGAGGUUGGUGCAGAUGACCUGAAGCAAGAAGGAGGUAGGUUGGACCAUUGAAGCACUCAAGUGCCCUUGAGUAAGUGGCUUGACUUGCUUGUUCCUUAGGGUGACCUUGGACAAGGCUCUUAAAUUCCUUUUCCUCAGUCAGCCCAGCUGGUAAAUUUGUCUGGGGGUGAAGAAACACCAAAAUAACAUUGAAAAGCCAGCAGUGCCCCUGCAUUGCCCUUUCCAGGGUAAACAAGUCAUACCCCCAACAUUUCCCCCAAGCCCACCAUCAGGGAGGGAUUUUCAGUGUGUCCUCUAUGGAGCCCUGUGGAAAAGUCUGGAUGCAACGUGAACUACACAAGUGGUACAGUUGCAUAUUCAGAUGUAGUGCAAUGUUUGUUCAUCUCUCAAAAUGUGUGUACAGUACUGAUCACUGUGUUAUCUGUGUGCUUACUGCUAAGUAGCAAUGCAAAGAUUCUUCUCCUUCCCUUCUUCUACAUAAACAGCCAAAUAUACAGUACUUUUUUUCCUCUGUUACCUUUUCCAUGAUAAAAAAAAAAAAUCUAGACAUAAUAAACCAGUGUGUUCAGCAUCUAGUGGAAAGAUA
Molecule: long non-coding RNA, 2101 nt
Filed under: Anser cygnoides (Swan goose)
Lineage: Eukaryota; Metazoa; Chordata; Aves; Anseriformes; Anatidae
Description: lncRNA (ENSACDG00005008972.1)
Source: RNAcentral